Non-coding RNA from Ciborinia camelliae, 107 nucleotides. The record is from the annotation of a GenBank genome assembly. NCBI's taxonomy places the organism in Eukaryota, Fungi, Ascomycota, Leotiomycetes, Helotiales, Sclerotiniaceae.
GGGGCUGUAACUCAGUGGUAGAGUGCCUCGUUUGCAAUAUCAACAUCUUGAAAAGGAUCAGUUGAUAGAGUUCGAUGAAGUCCAGGGUUCGACUCCCUGCCGCUCCA